RNAcentral lists this ribosomal RNA (908 nucleotides) under Letrouitia transgressa. Its description in RNAcentral is "partial large subunit ribosomal RNA". It matches the Rfam family "Eukaryotic large subunit ribosomal RNA", at positions 73 to 939 of the family's 3401-position model. Lineage: Eukaryota; Fungi; Ascomycota; Lecanoromycetes; Teloschistales; Letrouitiaceae. The record is from RNAcentral.
GAUUGCCUCAGCUAACGGCGAGUGAAGCGGCAACAGCUCAAAUUUGAAAUCUGGUCCCCCAGGGAUCCGAGUUGUAAUUUGUAGAGGAUGUUUCGGGCGCGGGGCCGGCCUAAGUCCCUUGGAACGGGGCGUCACAGAGGGUGAGAAUCCCGUCUGCAGCCGGCGCCUAAGCCUAUGUGAAACUCCUUCGACGAGUCGAGUUGUUUGGGAAUGCAGCUCUAAAUGGGUGGUAAGUUUCAUCUAAAGCUAAAUAUCGGCCAGAGACCGAUAGUGGACAAGUAGAGUGAUCGAAAGAUGAAAAGCACUUUGGAAAGAGAGUCAAAAAGUACGUGAAAUUGUUGAAAGGGAAGCGCUUGUAACCAGACCUGCGCGGGGGCGAUCAGCCGUCGUUCUCGGCGGUGCACUCGCCCCCGAUCAGGCCAGCAUCGGUUCGGGCGGCCGGAUAAAGGCCCUGGGAAUGUAGCUCCUCUCGGGGAGUGUUAUAGCCCUCGGUGCAAUGCGGCCCGCCCGGAUCGAGGACCGCGCUCCGGCUAGGAUGCUGGCGUAAUGGUUGCAAGCGGCCCGUCUUGAAACACGGACCAAGGAGUCUAACAUCUAUGCGAGUGUUUGGGCAUCAAACCCAUGCGCGCAAUGAAAGUGAACGGAGGUGAGAACCCCCCGGGGCGCAUCAUCGACCGAUCCAGAUGUCUUCGGAUGGAUUUGAGUACGAGCAUUGAUAUUAGGACCCGAAAGUAAAUAACCCCCCUCUUCCGUUCUUUAUAUGUAGUUUGUAGGCUGACUUGAAACCCAGGAUGGUGAACUAUGCCUGAAUAGGGUGAAGCCAGAGGAAACUCUGGUGGAGGCUCGCAGCGGUUCUGACGUGCAAAUCGAUCGUCAAAUUUGGGUAUAGGGGCGAAAGACUUAUCGAA